CCUACGGGGGACUGCAGUGGGGAAUAUUGCACAAUGGGGGAAACCCUGAUGCAGCGACGCCGCGUGAGCGAAGAAGUAUUUCGGUAUGUAAAGCUCUAUCAGCAGGGAAGAAAAUGACGGUACCUGAGUAAGAAGCUCCGGCUAAAUACGUGCCAGCAGCCGCGGUAAUACGUAUGGAGCAAGCGUUAUCCGGAUUUACUGGGCGUAAAGGGAGCGUAGGCGGCCUGCCAAGUCUGAUGUGAAAUACCGGGGCUCAACCCCGGGGCUGCAUUGGAAACUGGCAGGCUGGAGUGCCGGAGAGGCAGGCGGAAUUCCUAGUGUAGCGGUGAAAUGCGUAGAUAUUAGGAGGAACACCAGUGGCGAAGGCAGCUUACUAAACUGUGACUGACAUUGAUGCUCGAAAGUGUGGGUAUCAAACAGGAUUAGAUACCCUAGUAGUC
Molecule: ribosomal RNA, 440 nt
Filed under: uncultured bacterium
Lineage: Bacteria
Description: partial 16S ribosomal RNA
Rfam family: Bacterial small subunit ribosomal RNA
Source: RNAcentral